RNAcentral lists this ribosomal RNA (465 nucleotides) under uncultured bacterium. Its description in RNAcentral is "partial 16S ribosomal RNA". It matches the Rfam family "Bacterial small subunit ribosomal RNA", at positions 28 to 506 of the family's 1533-position model. The record is from RNAcentral.
GAUGAACGCUGGCGGCGUGCUUAACACAUGCAAGUCGAACGAUGAAGCUCAGCUUGCUGGGUGGAUUAGUGGCGAACGGGUGAGUAACACGUGAGUAACCUGCCCUUAACUCUGGGAUAAGCCUGGGAAACUAGGUCUAAUACCGGAUAGGAGCGCCUACCGCAUGGUGGGUGUUGGAAAGAUUUAUCGGUUUUGGAUGGACUCGCGGCCUAUCAGCUUGUUGGUGAGGUAAUGGCUCACCAAGGCGACGACGGGUAGCCGGCCUGAGAGGGUGACCGGCCACACGGGGACUGAGACACGGCCCAGACUCCUACGGGAGGCAACAGUGGGGAAUAUUGCACAAGGGGCGAAAGCCUGAUGCAGCGACGCCGCGUGAGGGAUGACGGCCUUCGGGUUGUAAACCUCUUUCAGUAGGGAAGAAGCGAAAGUGACGGUACCUGCAGAAGAAGCACCGGCUAACUACGU